UACGGGGGGGGCAAGCGUUGUUCGGAAUUACUGGGCGUAAAGGGCUCGUAGGCGGCCAACUAAGUCAGACGUGAAAUCCCUCAGCUUAACUGGGGAACUGCGUCUGAUACUGGAUGGCUAGAGUUCGGGAGAGGGAUGCGGAAUUCCAGGUGUAGCGGUGAAAUGCGUAGAUAUCUGGAGGAACACCGGUGGCGAAGGCGGCAUCCUGGACCGACACUGACGCUGAGGAGCGAAAGCCAGGGGAGCAAACGGG
RNAcentral lists this ribosomal RNA (253 nucleotides) under uncultured bacterium. Its description in RNAcentral is "partial 16S ribosomal RNA". It matches the Rfam family "Bacterial small subunit ribosomal RNA", at positions 524 to 776 of the family's 1533-position model. The record is from RNAcentral.